Molecule: non-coding RNA, 2851 nt
Organism: Anas platyrhynchos (mallard)
Lineage: Eukaryota; Metazoa; Chordata; Aves; Anseriformes; Anatidae
Source: RefSeq, a predicted model, not a curated record
GUUUCACACCCUACAGGUCUUCCACACCUGUAACUUUCAUAUUAGCUUUGACCAUUUCUCAUAUAUUUGUUUCAAACGCAAAGCCUUUCACACCGACAAAAUGCAAAUAUGCAUCUUGCUGUUGCAAGCAAUGAACCAAAAGGGUCAAGCAGAUCUAGCAAUAAGGUCAUGUAACUCUGUCCCUAACUCCAACCACAAACCAUGUCAGCAAAUAUCUUAUCAUUUUGAACCCUGAUCCCAGCCAUAACUGCAGAUUAGGAACUGAAUUUUCUCUCACAUCUAGAAAGAAGACAUCCACAUCUGUGACUACCAGUCCUUAGACAAUUUUUCUGUAUUUACAGGAUUCAACAAGAAAAUGAGGUGUUCAGCCUGUGGCUGUCCCAGAUCCUUGCCACUCCUUGUCUGAGUACUUUUGGCCCCAGUUUUGCUUUCUGCAGGCAGCAGAGCCUCAGCUGGCCCCUUGGCCACUUUUUACUCCUGCUGUUGUAUUUGCCUGUGGUAUUUUCUCAGAAGACGCUGGAAAAGAGGAAAACAGGCUUCGUAUGGUACCUGUAAUUGAAGAGGAGAAAUCUGAGAUUUCUGCAGGCAUUUAAGGACAUAUGUAUAGGAUUUAGCAGUGCUAUUGCCCUGUAAGUGUUCAUAUACAGCAGAGUGGUUGGAGAAGUCCUUGAAGACCCUGAUCCAAUGCUCACCAAGGAAAUUUGCUCUCAUGGCAUGGAUAUGGUUUCAAGCCAGGCAGACCCAUCCUGGAGCUUUCCCUGCUUGCUCAAAAGGCUGCUUGAAAUUCUUGCCAUUAACUGUCCAUACCGGUGCUACUUGGUACAGCUCUGUCAUUUCUUCAAGGUGUGAGUUCCUCUUAUUUUUUCCUUAAAAAUAUGUUUAUUACUGAAUUGUAGAGAACAGAUUUGUAUUGUUAUUUGGGGUCUAACGCCACCAAUUUCCUUGGUGCGACAUUAGCAGGGGGUUAAGCACUCUGGCUCAUUUUUCUCAGGAUAACUUUAAAGCUCUGGUGGAGAUGAAGAGGUGAAGGCAGUUAGCAUCCACGCUGCUCACACAAAAGACUUCAGAUCUCAUCAAGUUGAACUGCUCACUCUUCAAAAGAGUAGCCCUUAAAAUGAUUUGGAACUGACCUUCUUUCCCUGAGAAAUUUCUUCUGACAAAACAGGUAUAUGUGAUACAGAAAAAUACAGUUAUUCAUUACCAACUGGUAGCUCCUCAUUGCCAGAUUACCUUUAAUUCACAAGCUAAACCAGAACAGGGAGCACACCUUGUUUUUCUCCCUCUCUGUGUUUUGGAUGUUAAAUUGUUGACUUUCUCUGAUAUCAGCAGGCAUGUAAAAGGUGGUUACAGAAGACAGAAAAGCAGUGUUACCUCAGGACUUUUUGCUCACAGGCAGAGUAGUUGGUAGGUUGGCCAAAACUGUCUUCACUCCUCAAAGGAAAAUGUAUUAAAAGAGAAAUGCAGCCCUUGCAUAUUGCCAGUGCUGUUCUGCUUGGAGAGAAAACUCCAUCAGUGCAACUCCCAUAAAGACAGAUCUCUGCCAAAUAUAAUUUGGAGAUGCUGUGGGACUUGGGAAUUGGCCCCUCAUUAGAGAUACAGAGAUUUCUCUCUAGAAGGGCAGUUUUCCAGCCUAUGAAAAUUAAUGGGAGAUGUACAUGUAUAUGUGGGUAGAUUUCAGCUCCCAAACAUACUACAAGGUGGGCCAAUCCACCAAAUUGCACUGAAUGUUGUUUCAUCACUCCAGAGGCUUCCUGCCUGGUGCCAAAUAUUUGCAGUUUGAACAUCUAUUAUACUAUUAGUGCUGCAGUGUAUCAACAGAUAACUCAGAUACAAUAUAGAAGAUAUAAUUCUCAAUAUUGUCCACUGAUUUUAAAUAUGUGUUUUUUGUUGUUGUUGUUGUUUUUUUUCUUUUAAAUAUACACAAGUAAAGAUAACUAAACAGGAUAAGUUGAGCAAUUUUUAUAAUGUCAUUUGGUUGAUGCUUCAAAGAAAAGCUAAUGCCAAUGCCUCUCUAAAUUGCAAUUGGUAAAACUUUACAAGAACUAAAAAUUAAUAUUCUAGAAAGUACAGACAAAAAUAAAAUAUGAGAACUAUAAAAUCAAAAUGUAUUUGAUUGUUUUUCUUUUGAACAUGUCUCCUGGAAUUAGUAAAUAUAUAUUUAUCCUGCUUGAAGCCCAUAGAAUAAAGAUGCUCAUUUCCAGAAUGGAUGUUCCGAAAAGGCAGCAGGAACUGAGAGCAAUUUGGGAACACCAUCUCUGAGCUACCAUACAGAAGACAGUUUUUAAUGUUGAAAUAAACUACCGAGAGUUAUCUGGAAGCCGUCAGUAUAAAACCGCUAACCAAUAGGUAUAUGUGCGCACUGUGCUACCUGGCGCAUAACUGUGUGGCAAAGAGGUAAAAGGUGAUUUGCAGCCAGUGAUUAAAAAAGCUUCUUGAAAUAUUAAGCUCUUCUGUGAAGGGCAAUACCCUAAAUGUGGAGGUUUUAUGCGUACAAAAGCCCAGUUGCAGAAAGAACUAUGGGAUCUGGGUAGUGUCACCCGACUUAAACCCCACAACUCUGCUCUGGGAAGAAGCACUGCUGCCUACACCUGGAGCAGUGGCUCUGAGCAACAUGCAGACUCUUUUGAUGAGAUUUUGGGUUUCUCACAUGGUUUUGCAUAUCAUGGCUAGCUACUUAGAAUUUCAUUUAGAACUUAAAAUUGAGAGAUUGAUUUUCUGAUGAAGUCCACAGGGACGUUUCUCAACCAAGUUAAAUGAAAAGGAAAUAAAUUUGGAUAAAACAAAUUUGUGAAGGCGGCUUGUUUGCUUUUUCCUCCCUAUAUUUUUUUUUAUUAUUAUUUUUUUUAUAGUU